ACGGGAGGCAGCAGUGGGGAAUAUUGGGCAAUGGGCGCAAGCCUGACCCAGCAACGCCGCGUGAAGGAAGAAGGCUUUCGGGUUGUAAACUUCUUUUGUCAGGGAAGAGUAGAAGACUGUACCUGGCGAAUAAGCCACGGCUAACUACGUGCCAGCAGCCGCGGUAAUACGUAGGUGGCAAGCGUUAUCCGGAUUUACUGGGUGUAAAGGGCGCGUAGGCGGGGAUGCAAGUCAGAUGUGAAAUCUAUGGGCUUAACUCAUAAACUGCAUUUGAAACUGUAUCUCUUGAGUGCUGGAGAGGUAGAUGGAAUUCCUUGUGUAGCGGUGAAAUGCGUAGAUAUAAGGAAGAACACCAGUGGCGAAGGCGAUCUACUGGACAGUAACUGACGCUGAGGCGCGAAAGCGUGGGGAGCAAACAGGAUUAGAUACCCUGGUA
RNAcentral lists this ribosomal RNA (436 nucleotides) under uncultured Oscillospiraceae bacterium. Its description in RNAcentral is "bacterial SSU rRNA". It matches the Rfam family "Bacterial small subunit ribosomal RNA", at positions 341 to 792 of the family's 1533-position model. The record is from RNAcentral. Lineage: Bacteria; Bacillati; Bacillota; Clostridia; Eubacteriales; Oscillospiraceae.